This 253-nucleotide ribosomal RNA is filed under the name uncultured bacterium. RNAcentral's name for it is "partial 16S ribosomal RNA". It matches the Rfam family "Bacterial small subunit ribosomal RNA", at positions 524 to 776 of the family's 1533-position model. The record is from RNAcentral.
UACGUAGGGGGCAAGCGUUGUCCGGAUUUAUUGGGCGUAAAGAGCGUGUAGGCGGCCAUGCAGGUCCGUUGUGAAAACUCGAGGCUCAACCUCGAGACGCCGGUGGAAACCGUGUGGCUAGAGUCCGGAAGAGGAGAGUGGAAUUCCUGGUGUAGCGGUGAAAUGCGCAGAUAUCGGGAGGAACACCGGUGGCGAAGGCGGCGACCUGGUCCGAUACUGACGCUGAGGCGCGAAAGCGUGGGGAGCAAACAGG